GACGAACGCUGGCGGCGUGCUUAACACAUGCAAGUCGAACGGAAAGGCCCUGCUUUUGUGGGGUGCUCGAGUGGCGAACGGGUGAGUAACACGUGAGUAACCUGCCCUUGACUUUGGGAUAACUUCAGGAAACUGGGGCUAAUACCGGAUAGGAGCUCCUGCUGCAUGGUGGGGGUUGGAAAGUUUCGGCGGGUGGGGAUGGACUCGCGGCUUAUCAGCUUGUUGGUGGGGUAGUGGCUUACCAAGGCUUUGACGGGUAGCCGGCCUGAGAGGGUGACCGGCCACAUUGGGACUGCGCUACGGCCCAGACUCCUACGGGAGGCAGCAGUGGGGAAUAUUGCACAAUGGGCGGAAGCCUGAUGCAGCAACGCCGCGUGCGGGAUGACGGCCUUCGGGUUGUAAACCGCUUUCGCCUGUGACGAAGCGUGAGUGACGGUAAUGGGUAAAGAAGCACCGGCUAACUACGUG
This 468-nucleotide ribosomal RNA is filed under the name uncultured bacterium. RNAcentral's name for it is "partial 16S ribosomal RNA". It matches the Rfam family "Bacterial small subunit ribosomal RNA", at positions 28 to 507 of the family's 1533-position model. The record is from RNAcentral.